GUUUCAGGCAGCUGGAAUAAAGAGAGACAUCGGGGGAAAGCCGCGAGAAGGCCAGCGUCCCUGGCUGGGAGCAGAGCUAGCCGAGUAGGGCGCCCGGCUGUCAAACUGGCCGGCGCAGUGCACGCUGGGCCGCCCCGGAGCGGUCGCAGAGCCCGUCGGGAGUCGUAGUCCGGGACGGGCCCGCGGCAUUGUCCGCGACGCAGCUCGGGAUCCGGGUCGGGGUGUCGGCCGGGUUGCUGCCGGGCACCGUCGAGCGUUAGCCACCCAGCAUUGAGCUGCCAGCGGCUGUUCUCCCUAAGCACCCUCGCUCACGUCGCCUCGCCUCGCCUCGCCUGACCGGCCGCAGCCUUGGAUACCAGCCUUAAAUCGAGCCGACUACGGCCCAGCCCCGCCCGCGGCGAGGUGCGCGGGGUUCGGUGCCAGCCGCUCGCCCCUGGCGGGGCCAGCCUCUUGAUGCACCGGGGACGGGCGCCCCCAUCCGACUCUUCGAGGGGCGGCAGGGCCCCAUCUGUGUCUUUCGCUCUCGAGCCCCCAGCUAGAGUUGGCUUCAGCGGAAUACCUACUGUGCGGGAUUAUUCAACAAGCCGAUUGAUCACAUUCUUCAGCUCUAGCAGUGCAAAGGCUUCACUGAAAAAGAACAUUACAAAUUUUUUUUGAAAGAAAUUUGGGGGAAUCCACUGAAGACCUACAUUUCCCGGAAGGUUAACAGCCCCCUUCUCAGUUUUCCUGAUAUAAAUUUAAUUCACAGUUGGGCAGGGCAUGGUGCCUCACACCUAUAAUCCGAGCACUUUGGGAG
This 796-nucleotide long non-coding RNA is filed under the name Homo sapiens (human). Its description in RNAcentral is "LHRI_LNC1760.1". The record is from RNAcentral. Lineage: Eukaryota; Metazoa; Chordata; Mammalia; Primates; Hominidae.